RNAcentral lists this ribosomal RNA (253 nucleotides) under uncultured bacterium. Its description in RNAcentral is "partial 16S ribosomal RNA". It matches the Rfam family "Bacterial small subunit ribosomal RNA", at positions 524 to 776 of the family's 1533-position model. The record is from RNAcentral.
UACGUAGGGGGCAAGCGUUGUCCGGAAUCAUUGGGCGUAAAGAGCGUGUAGGCGGUUCGGUAAGUCGGCUGUGAAAGUCCAGGGCUCAACCCUGGGAUGCCGGUCGAUACUGGAUGGCUUGAAUUCGGGAGAGGGAUGCAGAAUUCCAGGUGUAGCGGUGAAAUGCGCAGAUAUCGGGAGGAACACCAGUGGCGAAGGCGGAACUCUGGGCCGGAACUGACGCUGAGGAGCGAAAGCGUGGGGAGCGAACAGG